UACGAAGGGAGCUAGCGUUGUUCGGAAUUACUGGGCGUAAAGGGCGCGUAGGCGGACAUCUAAGUCAGGGGUGAAAUCCCAGGGCUCAACCCUGGAAUUGCCUUUGAUACUGGACGUCUUGAGCUCGGGAGAGGUGAGUGGAAUUCCGAGUGUAGAGGUGAAAUUCGUAGAUAUUCGGAGGAACACCAGAAGCGAAGGCGGCUCACUGGCCCGAUACUGACGCUGAGGCGCGAAAGCGUGGGGAGCAAACAGG
RNAcentral lists this ribosomal RNA (253 nucleotides) under uncultured bacterium. Its description in RNAcentral is "partial 16S ribosomal RNA". It matches the Rfam family "Bacterial small subunit ribosomal RNA", at positions 524 to 776 of the family's 1533-position model. The record is from RNAcentral.